RNAcentral lists this ribosomal RNA (661 nucleotides) under uncultured Pseudomonas sp. RNAcentral's name for it is "bacterial SSU rRNA". It matches the Rfam family "Bacterial small subunit ribosomal RNA", at positions 1 to 662 of the family's 1533-position model. The record is from RNAcentral. Lineage: Bacteria; Pseudomonadati; Pseudomonadota; Gammaproteobacteria; Pseudomonadales; Pseudomonadaceae.
UAGAGUUUGAAACCUGGCUCAGAUUGAACGCUGGCGGCAGGCCUAACACAUGCAAGUCGAGCGGAUGAGAAGAGCUUGCUCUUCGAUUCAGCGGCGGACGGGUGAGUAAUGCCUAGGAAUCUGCCUGGUAGUGGGGGACAACGUUUCGAAAGGAACGCUAAUACCGCAUACGUCCUACGGGAGAAAGCAGGGGACCUUCGGGCCUUGCGCUAUCAGAUGAGCCUAGGUCGGAUUAGCUAGUUGGUGAGGUAAUGGCUCACCAAGGCGACGAUCCGUAACUGGUCUGAGAGGAUGAUCAGUCACACUGGAACUGAGACACGGUCCAGACUCCUACGGGAGGCAGCAGUGGGGAAUAUUGGACAAUGGGCGAAAGCCUGAUCCAGCCAUGCCGCGUGUGUGAAGAAGGUCUUCGGAUUGUAAAGCACUUUAAGGUGGGAGGAAGGGCAGUAAGCUAAUACCUUGCAAUUUUGACGUUACCGCCAGAAUAAGCACCGGCUAACUCUGUGCCAGCAGCCGCGGUAAUACAGAGGGUGCAAGCGUUAAUCGGAAUUACUGGGCGUAAAGCGCGCGUAGGUGGUUUGUUAAGUCGGAUGUGAAAUCCCCGGGCUCAACCUGGGAACUGCAUCCGAAACUGGCAAGCUAGAGUAUGUAGACGGACGCC